Molecule: ribosomal RNA, 465 nt
Filed under: Vreelandella stevensii
Lineage: Bacteria; Pseudomonadati; Pseudomonadota; Gammaproteobacteria; Oceanospirillales; Halomonadaceae
Description: partial 16S ribosomal RNA
Rfam family: Bacterial small subunit ribosomal RNA
Source: RNAcentral
CCUACGGGAGGCUGCAGUGGGGAAUAUUGGACAAUGGGCGAAAGCCUGAUCCAGCCAUGCCGCGUGUGUGAAGAAGGCCUUCGGGUUGUAAAGCACUUUCAGUGGGGAAGAAAGCCUUGGGGCUAAUACCCUCGAGGAAGGACAUCACCCACAGAAGAAGCACCGGCUAACUCCGUGCCAGCAGCCGCGGUAAUACGGAGGGUGCGAGCGUUAAUCGGAAUUACUGGGCGUAAAGCGCGCGUAGGCGGUCUGAUAAGCCGGUUGUGAAAGCCCCGGGCUCAACCUGGGAACGGCAUCCGGAACUGUCAGGCUAGAGUGCAGGAGAGGAAGGUAGAAUUCCCGGUGUAGCGGUGAAAUGCGUAGAGGUCGGGAGGAAUACCAGUGGCGAAGGCGGCCUUCUGGACUGACACUGACGCUGAGGUGCGAAAGCGUGGGUAGCAAACAGGAUUAGAUACCCUAGUAGUC